CCCAGCCACAGGUUCCCAACAGAAUUGUUUACAAAGGCUGAGCAUUUACCUGAGGCCAUGAGAUAAUCAACAUUCAAGGCAUGGCAAUUCAUGUUUUGGAGGGUUUUGAGGAAAAUAGAUUACAUAGGUCUGGUUGUACCUUGGAGGACCAUUCCAGAACAGAAAGGAUUUUGAAGAUAGAGAAAUCCGUGAAUAUUGGCACUGAGCGAAAGUUUCUUUACCAAGACUCCUUAGAGAAGAGUCUAUUUUACCAGUUUCUAGUAUGUGGCUUAUAUUCUAAAAACUAAUUGUAGACCAUUUUUGUAACUUCUCUACAUGAGUUUUCAAGUUUUGUAUGGGAUAACUUUUUAAAUGCCUUUGGAAAUAGAAAUUAGGAGGCUGACACAUGUUCUUCAAGAGAAUAAGCAAUUGACCUUUAUCCCAUUUAACCAAAUAACAUAUAAGAAAGCGUUUGAAUUGCCAAGGAACUCUCAGAAUAAAAUGAAAGGGUUGGACUUGUAGAAAUUUAUAGGCAUCUAUAUCGAUGUAUGCAAUACAGGGUGAAGUCUCAGGUUUCAACCGUCAGGAAAAAGAUAAGUCAUUCACCAAUAGUUAUCACCGUUGAGAUGUGUAUCAAAGCUUAUGGGCCAGUCUUCCGGGAACUUUUUUUCAAGAUGGCCGACGGCACUACAAGGAAAUCACUUUUUUUGCCUUUCCACCUUCCUUUUUUUUCUACAGCAGACAAGUUGGCAGGAGCUUCAGCAGCUAGCUUGGAUCCUGAGUAAACACGAGGCUGGAGGUCAGGGGCUCCACAUAAUGACGAAAAAAGAUGGCACAAACUUAAAUCUCUGAUAACCACAGAGCUACCUACCAUCCCAGCUCUGGACUGUCCCCAGUAGGCUUCUUUUACUGGCGAGAAAAAUCAAACUUGAUCUUGUUUAAGCCACUUAUUUGAGUUUUCUAUCAAAAGCAGCUAAACCUGAUAUGUCAUAUCUUUGACAAAACUGGGCCAAUGAGAGAGAGACUGAGAAGGCUGUGUGUUUCAAGCAAUAUAGGAGAUUCUAAUACUUGGUAUCUGAGUGUUCUAAUCAGCUGGGUUUACUGGGUAAAAGGAACAGAAAGGGUAUGGAUAUCAGUUCAAUAAAGUCCUCCUGGGUGAAUGCCA
This 1144-nucleotide long non-coding RNA is filed under the name Felis catus (domestic cat). Its description in RNAcentral is "lncRNA (ENSFCAG00000040322.2)". Lineage: Eukaryota; Metazoa; Chordata; Mammalia; Carnivora; Felidae. The record is from RNAcentral.